AACUAACGCUGGCGGCGCGUCUUAAACAUGCAAGUCGAGCGGUAAGGCCCGCAAGGGUACACGAGCGGCAAACGGGUGAGUAACACGUAGGUAAUCUUCCCUUCAGUGGGGGACAACCUGCCGAAAGGCAGGCUAAUACCCCAUAUUUUCAGUCCUUCCACGGUGGGAUUGUAGAAAGCAGCAAUGCGCUGAAGGAUGAGCCUGCGGCUGAUUAGCUUGUUGGCGGGGUAACGGCCCACCAAGGCGACGAUCAGUAGCCGGCCUGAGAAGGUGUCCGGCCACACUGGGACUGAGACACGGCCCAGACUCCUACGGGAGGCAGCAGUUAAGAAUCUUGCGCAAUGGGCGCAAGCCUGACGCAGCGACGCCGCGUGCGCGAUGAAGGCCUUCGGGUUGUAAAGCGCAAUAGACAGGGAAGAAGAAAGUGACGGUACCUGUUGAAAGCACCGGCUAACUACGUG
RNAcentral lists this ribosomal RNA (461 nucleotides) under uncultured bacterium. RNAcentral's name for it is "bacterial SSU rRNA". It matches the Rfam family "Bacterial small subunit ribosomal RNA", at positions 29 to 507 of the family's 1533-position model. The record is from RNAcentral.